Long non-coding RNA from Bradysia coprophila, 304 nucleotides. RefSeq lists it as uncharacterized. The record is from RefSeq and is a predicted model, not a curated record. Lineage: Eukaryota; Metazoa; Arthropoda; Insecta; Diptera; Sciaridae.
CAAAGUAUGCUCUCUUUCUUUAUUUGAAAUGUUUCAAAUUUUUAGUUUUGUGAAAAUGUGUUAAAUUGCAACAUUAUGGACUAACUUUGGACAUAAUGACGAUUCUAUUUUGGUGCAUUGUAAUUAUGACUAAUAUUUUAGUGGUAUUCGACAGGUAUACAUCAUUCAUACAAUCAACGGUUGGUAUUAUCCUUACCAUACCCGACCCUAUUGCAAUAGCAUUAAUGGCACUGGAAUAUCUAUUCUAAAUCACUGCUUGUGAAAUCAAAAACUGCAAAUUAAAAUAUCUGAUGGCCAUAAGAUU